AAUCUUCCGCAAUGGACGCAAGUCUGACGGAGCAACGCCGCGUGAACGAUGAAGGCCUUCGGGUCGAAAAGUUCUGUUGUUAGGGAAGAACAAGUACCAUUCGAAUAGGGUGGUACCUUGACGGUACCUAACCAGAAAGCCACGGCUAACUACGUGCCAGCAGCCGCGGUAAUACGUAGGGGGCAAGCGUUGUCCGGAAUUAUUGGGCGUAAAGGGUGCGUAGGCGGCCUUUUAAGUCAGAUGUGAAAGACCACGGCUUAACCGUGGGACUGCAUUUGAAACUGGAGGGCUUGAGUAUCGGAGAGGGUAGUGGAAUUCCCAGUGUAGCGGUGGAAUGCGUAGAUAUUGGGAGGAACACCAGUGGCGAAGGCGACUACCUGGACGAAAACUGACGCUGAGGCACGAAAGCUAGGGGAGCAAAC
RNAcentral lists this ribosomal RNA (422 nucleotides) under uncultured bacterium. RNAcentral describes it as "partial 16S ribosomal RNA". It matches the Rfam family "Bacterial small subunit ribosomal RNA", at positions 360 to 773 of the family's 1533-position model. The record is from RNAcentral.